This 500-nucleotide ribosomal RNA is filed under the name Lactobacillus sp. MB1C. Its description in RNAcentral is "bacterial SSU rRNA". It matches the Rfam family "Bacterial small subunit ribosomal RNA", at positions 534 to 1032 of the family's 1533-position model. The record is from RNAcentral. Lineage: Bacteria; Bacillati; Bacillota; Bacilli; Lactobacillales; Lactobacillaceae.
GCAAGCGUUGUCCGGAUUUAUUGGGCGUAAAGCGAGCGCAGGCGGUUUUUUAGGUCUGAUGUGAAAGCCUUCGGCUUAACCGGAGAAGUGCAUCGGAAACCGGGAGACUUGAGUGCAGAAGAGGACAGUGGAACUCCAUGUGUAGCGGUGAAAUGCGUAGAUAUAUGGAAGAACACCAGUGGCGAAGGCGGCUGUCUGGUCUGUAACUGACGCUGAGGCUCGAAAGCAUGGGUAGCGAACAGGAUUAGAUACCCUGGUAGUCCAUGCCGUAAACGAUGAGUGCUAAGUGUUGGAGGGUUUCCGCCCUUCAGUGCUGCAGCUAACGCAUUAAGCACUCCGCCUGGGGAGUACGACCGCAAGGUUGAAACUCAAAGGAAUUGACGGGGGCCCGCACAAGCGGUGGAGCAUGUGGUUUAAUUCGAUGCUACGCGAAGAACCUUACCAGGUCUUGACAUCUUCUGCCAACCUAAGAGAUUAGGCGUUCCCUUCGGGGACAGAAU